Cyanistes caeruleus (blue tit) is the source of this 4020-nucleotide non-coding RNA. The record is from RefSeq and is a predicted model, not a curated record. Lineage: Eukaryota; Metazoa; Chordata; Aves; Passeriformes; Paridae.
CUCUGUCCCAAGGAAGCAAAAGCCAUAGGGUGCUGUGAGCAUCAGGACAGUCGUGUGCAGGCGGGACCUGCCCUUCUCACAUCUGUGUGCUGCAGGGAGAAACAUCACUGCCUCUCUUUUGAAACUCUCCUGCAAAAAAACUGCAAAAAAGGAAUGGUGUUUUCAGCAGAUCUGUAAUUAACCACAAUCCGUGCUUAAAUGAGAUGGAAACAUUCUCAUCUUGGGAAAAAACUUCUUGUUCUGCUUUUAAACGAGGAGGUUUCCAUGACAGUCAGCUAUAAAACCUUUAAGAGUUGCUGAUGCCAGCUAAAUCACAGAUUUAAGCUGCUGCAAAGGUCUCCACAGGAGAGCUCUACAAUGACUUACUCAGGUCAGCCCCUGAGUUUGUUCCUGUCAGGCUGCUGUGACCCGCUCAGGUCCCUGGUACAGACACUGGGCACGGCUGUGUCCCAACAGUCCAGGCUCUCCUGGGCACCCAACACUGGAAUUAGCACCUUAAAAUACUCCCUCAGAUGCAGAGUCAGGAAAGCUGUUCUAGGGAAAAGUACAAAAAAUACCAGUGCAGCAGUGAGAAGAAAUGGAAGAGGGAUUUUGUGUGUUGAAAGAGCAGAUCAUAAGCUGGGGAAACCCCUGUGCAAGGCAGGGAAUGCUGAGCAAUUGUUUCAAGAGAAACAUCAACACUCACCCAGGUGAGUGCCCAACCUGCACUGGGCACCAUCGACCCCUUCAGCUUUUAUCUUCUCCCUCAAACCACACAUUUGUCUGCAGAUCUGGGCUACAAACACAUGGCUCAGGAGGAGCUCUGAGACAAGUGAAAAUAUGCUGAAGAUGUGACAGGAAGCAGACUCCACAAAAUGGAGCUUUAAAUGGAUGGAUUUAGAAAAGUGGAAAGGGGGAAUGACAAUACCUGAGGGGAAAGGAAAGAGGGCCUGAAUAAAAUUUUAGCUUGUAAAAUGUAUCAUUACUAAAUGAUAGUGUGUAUAUGACAACUUAAUGUGCUUCUAACCUAACCAAACAGCUUUCUUUAUGAGGAAAAUAUUAAAUUUUCUUUAAAUAUAAGGUAACAGUGAUGCUUACCCAAAUAUCACAUUAUUCUGUAACCCUGAUACCUCAGGAUACUGGCUGACUCUAAGAAUGAGUUUCACUGAUUCUGUCCUCAAACUAUCAUUUAUCACUUCAAAAGUGGCAGUCAUCAUGUAGUUCUGCUCUAUUUUACGAGUUUGAAUCCAGGACAAUUACAUCACACUCGUGAACUUACAAAGGUGAGAACAGAGUGGUAGGUGCUUGAGGGGUGGAUUUCUCCAAUGCUGAGCUAACAGUGAAGUACUCCCGAUCUCCACAAAUUUCUCCUGGGCUCUUGACACCAUGUCAGAAGUGUCUGCUUCACAGUGAAUGACAGGAAGACAUAAUUCCAUUCACUACAGUGAGAUGUUUCAAGCUGCCUUAAAACACAAAUCUGUCUUCCCCAGCCUUCUCUCUCACAGUUUUAUUCCCCUUUGCCAGCAGUGAUGAGAGAACAGAGCAGCAGCCCAGGACAAACACAGGGGUUCUUCUGAACCUGUCACCAGGUUGUGAUAAAGAACUAACAACAAAUGCUUCAGGUUUCUAACCUUUAUAUACAGGAUUAAUUUUAUGAUUUAAUUGGAGCUCCCUUUAUUAAAAUUGCUAUAUAAGGACUAACCAUUGUGGUUAGAAAACUCCAAGAUUGUAAUGCUGCAUUGAAGUUGGACAUAUUUAAGCUUUGCAAGUUUGAGGAAUUUGGGGAUUUUAAUCUCUAAGGUGAAAUGUCUCUAUCAUACUACAGGUCUGGAGUUGUUGGGAGCACACAGAGAUGUCGCUUGAGGAUAAUGCUUCUGAUAAAUACUACUGCAUCACUGUGGAGGGGAAGAUCUGCAUUUUAAGAUUAAGCAGUGUAGCAGAGAGCAAGAACAGGAGACUGCUUUUGAUUUCGGGAAACAGAAUGUUCCUGAAAUACAGCAAUGGUCAAUGAAAUGACAGCAAAAGGAAGGAUUUACUGUGGCACAGCAAACACAAAGCCUGAAAAAUGAACUUUGCUGGAGAUGCUGUGCGUGGGAAACGAAAGAGGAAGCACUGUUUUGUCAUACAUCACCUGUAAGAUGUAAACCACUCCAUCUAAUAAUGCACUGCUGGGUACUUCAUUCCAGCAGAUACACAGAAAACUAAAGUUACUUGAAGAGAGGUGUAUCAAAAGGAUAAUGGACUUUAUACAGACUAACAAAUCAGUGUGAAUGAUGCAGGUAUUUCAGCAUCUCUCUUUUGUUAUUGAAACUUAGUGUCAGAAAUGUUGAAAUUUUUUAAGAUGUGGAAGUUUUCUCCUUUUUUGUGCACUGUCAGGGUUCAACCAAUGCUGAUCCUGUAUGGAAAGCUCUUCAUAACAGAAUCACAUCAGAUUUCACAAUGUUCUUGUUUCCAUAAGCAGGAAUAACUGCAAUAAUGUGCAACAUCUCUGCACAUCUCUGCAUGUGGCAGUGUAUGCUACCACAUUUUCCUGACUGCAGGUGCCUUCAGGGCUUCUGCCUCAGUCUGCCUGAAAAUGCCUCAGAAAAUACAGAAAAUGUGUCUAGAGAUGCAGAGAAAUGCCCAUUUUUAAUAUAAAUUCUAGGAAUGGCACUGUUGUCCAGACAAAUUGAAUCCAGUAAAUGCACACUUGAGAGAGCUAUUAAUUGUUUAUGUCAGAGCUGCCAAGCCGCAUGGUCGGUGGUGUUCCACAAAUCAAGCAGCCCAACUAUCCAUACUUCUUCCUAUUUUAUAUUUUAGCAAAGAAAGGCAUGAAUGUUCAUUGGCUACUGAUUACAAUGUUCUCUUAUUAAUUAGUAUUCUUUCUUCUUAAUGAGUUAAUGAGUCUCUCGCUUCUCGUGCUAAUUACUGCUCUAUCUCUCUCCUCCUUUGGCUCGGUGCUUUCCUGUGUGGGGGCUCCAUCACUUGGGGGUCCUGAUCUGCCCCUGCCGGAAUUGCCCUUUAGCCAGGCCGAGCUGGUCCCACACCGUUAUCGAGUUCCUUUAUUUGUCUCUUCCUUAUCUGGGGGUUCUGCCCGAUGUCCUCGUGGCCCAGGAAUUCUGCAUUCCGCGUGGAUCAGUGGAAAUCCUUCUGGCCGAGCUUUGUUGACCUCGCCCGGGGCCGAGAUCAUUGGAACGUGUCCGGCCCCAAACCUUAACAAGGCAACUCUGCUGAGCGGGAAUUUGUGUUUCGAGCAGCUGGACAUCACUUAGCGCUUGUGGCCUGCUCUGUUUCACGGAUUAAAUCUCUCUCCUUGUUGAUCAGGCUUGAAUGGGACAGAGAUCAGACAGCAAAGAACACCUUAACAAAAUUUUACAUACUCCACAUUUUACGAGGAGUAGUGCCAAGGCAUAGGCUGGAUAUGAUUAAACUCUCCAAGAGCUCUUUUGAGUAGAAUCCUACUGGGAAUGGGGUUCCCAUGAGGGCUGUAUUGCCAAUGGUUAGACAUGGAGUGGUUGUUGAAGUAUUUUUUGUAGGCCUCCUGUUUUUCUUCUUCUCUGUUCAGGCUGUGGAUCCUGAGCAGAGGAGUAACAUCGCUUUAAAGAAUGAGUGGGUUAAAAUGUGUCCUGCUGGGGACAGGUUUACUCCGAUUGUGACUAGUAUUAGGGCUAAAUGAUUUGACAUGGAGAAGGCCGUGUUUAAUACCGUUCUCUCUGAGGCCUCCUCAUGUGGCGACAAAUGGUGUGGAGGGGGUCCCCAGGAGCGGCACAGGGAAGGGCGGGGGCUGCGUCGGUGAACACGGGGUGGGUGCGAGUGAGGGGGAGAAUUCCGGGUGCUGCCCACCUACCCUGCUGGCUUCGAGUCUCCAGCAGUGCAGCUGCUGCUCUCAGCCAGGGCCGAGCGAGGCAGAGAAGCGGCGGGUCUCAGCGUCCGCCCCGGGGCACGGCACCGCAACCGGGGACCCGCUCCUCAGGGCGGGGACCCGCUCCUCAGGGCGGGGACCCGCUCCGCGCGUGCGCGCUGGGAGCAGCGGCCAUGGCGCGGCCGGGCCGGGCCGGCCUG